CCUACGGGAGGCAGCAGUGGGGAAUUUUCCGCAAUGGGCGAAAGCCUGACGGAGCAACGCCGCGUGAGGGAUGAAGGCCUCUGGGCUGUAAACCUCUUUUAUCAAGGAAGAAGAUCUGACGGUACUUGAUGAAUAAGCCACGGCUAAUUCCGUGCCAGCAGCCGCGGUAAUACGGGAGUGGCAAGCGUUAUCCGGAAUUAUUGGGCGUAAAGCGUCCGCAGGCGGUCUUGUAAGUCUGUCGUUAAAGCGUGGAGCUCAACUCCAUUUCGGCGGUGGAAACUACAAGACUAGAGUGUGGUAGGGGCAGAGGGAAUUCCCGGUGUAGCGGUGAAAUGCGUAGAUAUCGGGAAGAACACCAGUGGCGAAGGCGCUCUGCUGGGCCAUAACUGACGCUCAUGGACGAAAGCUAGGGGAGCGAAAGGGAUUAGAUACCCCUGUAGUCCUAGCCGUAAACGAUGAACACUAGGUGUCGGGGGAAUCGACCCCCUCGGUGUCGUAGCUAACGCGUUAAGUGUUCCGCCUGGGGAGUACGCACGCAGUGUGAACUUAAAUAGAAUUAGACGG
RNAcentral lists this ribosomal RNA (564 nucleotides) under uncultured bacterium. RNAcentral describes it as "bacterial SSU rRNA". It matches the Rfam family "Bacterial small subunit ribosomal RNA", at positions 338 to 916 of the family's 1533-position model. The record is from RNAcentral.